UGUGACAAUAUUGACAGACUGAGAGCUCUUUCUUGAUCUUAUAGGUGGUGGUGCAUGGCCGUUCUUAGUUGGUGGAGCGAUUUGUCUGGUUAAUUCCGUUAACGAACGAGACCUCAACCUGCUAACUAGCUAUGUGAAGGUAUCCCUCCAUGGCCAACUUCUUAGAGGGACUAUGGCCUUUUAGGCCACGGAAGUUUGAGCCAAUAACAGGUCUGUGAUGCCCUUAGAU
Molecule: non-coding RNA, 229 nt
Filed under: Helianthus annuus (common sunflower)
Lineage: Eukaryota; Viridiplantae; Streptophyta; Magnoliopsida; Asterales; Asteraceae
Description: Eukaryotic small subunit ribosomal RNA
Rfam family: Eukaryotic small subunit ribosomal RNA
Source: Rfam by way of RNAcentral